GACGAGCCACCCAAACGUUAUUCGGAAUUACUGGGCGUAAAGCGUGCGCAGGCGGUUUUGUAAGUCUGUCGUGAAAUCCCCGGGCUCAACCUGGGAAUUGCGAUGGAGACUGCAAGGCUAGAAUCUGGCAGAGGGGGGUAGAAUUACACGUGUAGCAGUGAAAUGCGUAGAGAUGUGGAGGAACACCGAUGGCGAAGGCAGCCCCCUGGGUCAAGAUUGACGCUCAUGCACGAAAGCGUGGGGAGCAAACAGG
Molecule: ribosomal RNA, 253 nt
Filed under: uncultured bacterium
Lineage: Bacteria
Description: partial 16S ribosomal RNA
Rfam family: Bacterial small subunit ribosomal RNA
Source: RNAcentral